RNAcentral lists this long non-coding RNA (788 nucleotides) under Homo sapiens (human). Its description in RNAcentral is "non-protein coding lnc-SERPIND1-1:47". The record is from RNAcentral. Lineage: Eukaryota; Metazoa; Chordata; Mammalia; Primates; Hominidae.
CUCUUGGUUCCUCUCGGAAGUCCUGCCCUUGCCCUCGCUCUCAUUGCCUCCCCGUCCCUGUCUCCCCUGACACUCGUUCCUCCAGAAGCCCGGUAAACCCCGUCCUUACGAGCCCCGCCCCUAGCUCUUCUACUACGGAGGGGAACUGCAGAGCCAGAAGAGCACGGAGCAGCAACUCGCAGCCCAAUUGGUGACGCUGCAGAAUGAACUGGAGCUGGCGGAGACCAAAUGCGCCUUGCAGGAGGAGAAGCUGCAGCAGGACGCGCUGCAGACAGCGGAGGCCUGGGCCAUAUUCCAGGAGCAGACCGUAGUCCUGCAGGUGCGGCCCCACUCAGACGCCAAGGUGCCUCCCGCCUCUCCUCCCCCAGACCUGGGGCGGUGUGACGGGCAGCUUCGCAGAGUGCAGUACAGCACCGAGUCGCUCAUGGAGGAGAUGGCCAGGGCGGACCGAGAGACGCGGCUGUUCGGCGGUCCUCGCGCGCUGGCCAUCAGGCGCUGCUGACGCUGCCGCUCCUCUUCCUGGGGCUGUCGCUGCUCUGGACGGUGCUGUUGGACCCCGGCGCCGUCUCCGCGUGGCUCUGGAGCCUCACCUCGGAGACGACGCUGCGCCGCCUGCGCUACACGCUGUCCCCGCUGCUGGAGCUGCGCGCUAACGGGCUGCUGCCAACCUAAGUGCAGCGCCCCGCGCCUGGCUCCAGGUGGACUCCAGGGCACCGGCUUUAUUUCUGGUGCACUCCUCUCCUGAGAGUGUAGACCAAGGUCGCCUAAUAAACUCCUCAAGGGAUGAA